GACAGAGGGUGCAAACGUUGUUCGGAAUUACUGGGCGUAAAGCGCGUGUAGGCGGCUUGGCAAGUCGGAUGUGAAAGCCCUCGGCUUAACUGAGGAAGUGCACCCGAAACUGAGUAGCUAGAGUACUAAAGAGGGUCGCGGAAUUCCCGGUGUAGAGGUGAAAUUCGUAGAUAUCGGGAGGAACACCGGUGGCGAAGGCGGCGACCUGGGUAGAUACUGACGCUGAGGCGCGAAAGCGUGGGGAGCAAACAGG
This 253-nucleotide ribosomal RNA is filed under the name uncultured bacterium. Its description in RNAcentral is "partial 16S ribosomal RNA". It matches the Rfam family "Bacterial small subunit ribosomal RNA", at positions 524 to 776 of the family's 1533-position model. The record is from RNAcentral.